Molecule: long non-coding RNA, 487 nt
Organism: Salvia splendens (bonfire salvia)
Lineage: Eukaryota; Viridiplantae; Streptophyta; Magnoliopsida; Lamiales; Lamiaceae
Exons: 2
Source: RefSeq, a predicted model, not a curated record
UGCAUUUCCUCAUAAAUUAUCGAUAUGUUGAAUAAAGCAGGGACCAGUAGAGGGAAGGCGAGCCGAAUGGUGGCUGGGACUAAAACGGGGUCCAAAACAGGAUACUCGAACCGGGUGAGGACUGUGACUGAAUCGGUGAUCCGUACAAGGCCUUCGAGGUGGAUAGCCCGCGGAUAUAGAAUCUCAUACCGCAGAACCUCGAUCACUGUGGAGAAAUCGAGGAGUGGUUUGUGUAGGAUUUUGACGGAAGUUCGCAGCUAUUGCUACUCCGCCUUCAACAGAGCCGGCUAUCGUUCCUCGGUCCGCCCUCGACGGGGCUAAAAACAAUACGAAUUCGAAGAACAACAAAGACAACUAAUCUUGUUGGCUAUUUUCGGAAUAUGAUCCUUCUAUGUGCUUUCGAUGAAUCCCUGUUAAUUAAUCGAGAGGAGUUUGUAUGUACUAUGAGUGAAUCAAUCUAUUUUCCAAUUUCGUAGCAUUACUUAAA